RNAcentral lists this ribosomal RNA (1404 nucleotides) under metagenome. RNAcentral describes it as "bacterial LSU rRNA". It matches the Rfam family "Bacterial large subunit ribosomal RNA", at positions 1541 to 2925 of the family's 2925-position model. The record is from RNAcentral.
CGGGCCUCAUAUACUCUGAGACGUGAUACCGAGCCGCUUCAGGCGAAGUCAUUAAUCCUAUGCUGCCUAGAAAAGCCCAGUAGCGAGUUGACAUGGUGCCCGUACCCCAAACCAACACAGGUGGACAGGUAGAGCAUACCAAGGCGAGUGGGAUAACUAUGGUUAAGGAACUCGGCAAAUUUCCUCCGUAACUUCGGGAUAAGGAGGACCCCAGUAGCGUGACGAGACUUGCUCUCCGAGCGUGAAGGGGUGGCACAAAAUUGAGGGAAGCGACUGUUUACCAAAAACACAGCAGCGUGCUAAGCCGUAAGGCGCUGUAUACGCUGUGACUCCUGCCCGGUGCUGGAAGGUUACGGGGAUGGGUUAGUCCUUUGGGACGAAGCUCUGAACCUAAGCCCCAGUAAACGGCGGCCGUAACUAUAACGGUCCUAAGGUAGCGAAAUUCCUUGUCGGGUAAGUUCCGACCUGCACGAAUGGAGUAACGACUUCCCUACUGUCUCAACCAUAGACCCAGCGAAAUUGAAGUACGAGUAAAGAUGCUCGUUAGCUGCAGAAGGACGGAAAGACCCCGUGGACCUUUACUAUAACUUGAUGCUGUGUUUUGUCAUAUGUUGUGUAGGAUAGGUGGGAGACAAGGAAGCAUGGACGCUAGUCUGUGUGGAGUCAUCGUUGAAAUACCACCCUGCAUAUGGUGAGGCUCUAACCUAGACCCGUUAUCCGGGUUGGGGACAGCGUCAGGCGGGUAGUUUAACUGGGGCGGUUGCCUCCUAAAGAGUAACGGAGGCGCCCAAAGGUUCCCUCAGCCUGGUUGGCAAUCAGGCGUCGAGUGCAAUGGCAAAAGGGAGCUUGACUGCGAGACCUACAAGUCGAGCAGGAGCGAAAGCUGGGCAUAGUGAUCCGGCGGUUGCGUGUGGAAGCGCCGUCGCUCAACGGAUAAAAGGUACCCCGGGGAUAACAGGCUAAUCUUGCCCAAGCGUCCAUAGCGACGGCAAGGUUUGGCACCUCGAUGUCGGCUCAUCGCAUCCUGGGGCUGAAGCAGGUCCCAAGGGUUGGGCUGUUCGCCCAUUAAAGCGGUACGCGAGCUGGGUUCAGAACGUCGUGAGACAGUUCGGUCCCUAUCCUCUGUAGCCGUAGGUGAAUUGAGGAAAGCUGUCCCUAGUACGAGAGGACCGGGACGGACGCAGCUCUCGUGUGCCAGUUGUCCUGCCAAGGGCAUGGCUGGUUAGCGACCUGCGGAAAGGAUAACCGCUGAAAGCAUCUAAGCGGGAAGCCUCUUCCAAGAUGAAUUCACCCACAGGGUUAACCUGGUAAGGCCCGUGGUAGACCACCACGUUGAUAGGCCGGAAGUGUAAGCGUGGCAACACGUUCAGCUGACCGGUACUAAUCGGCCGAGGGCUUGAAUUG